Molecule: ribosomal RNA, 698 nt
Filed under: Didymium eximium
Lineage: Eukaryota; Evosea; Eumycetozoa; Physariida; Didymiaceae
Description: SSU rRNA
Rfam family: Eukaryotic small subunit ribosomal RNA
Source: RNAcentral
GCGAAGUUAAGGGUUCGAAGACGAUCAGAUACCGUCGUAGUCUUAACUAUAAAUGAUACUGACCAGGGAUAGGACUCUGUCCAUUCCGACUUCUUCUGGACCUUGGAGAAAUUACAGUCUUUGAGUUCUGGGGGGAGUAUGGUCGCAAGGCUGAAACUUAAAGGAAUUGACGGAAGGGCACACAAAGAGUGGAACCUGCGGCUUAAUUUGACUCAACACGGGAAAACUCACCAGGUCCGGAUACACGUAUGAAAGACAAGCUGAAAGACUUUUCUCAAUGAUGUAAGUGGUGGUGCAUGGUCGUUCUUAGUUCGUGGAUUGAUUUGUCUGGUCUAUUCCGAUAACGAGCGAGACCCCGGCGUUCCUAAUAGAGGCGGCAGCCCGACUUACCUCGCAAGGGGUCUGUUAGCAGCCGUCGUAUAAAACUUCUUAGACGUAUCAGAGCCGAUAAGGUUCUUGAAAUGGGUUAAUAACAGGUCAGUCAUGCCCUUAGAUGUUCUGGGCCGCACGCGCGUUACAAUGGUAUAAAUAGAAAGUGCUCACACGGGCUUCUCCGCGGCCUAAUGGUCGCGGUAAACCGUAAUCUCUCCCUUGACUGGGACAGACUAUUGCAAUUAUUGGUCUCAAACGAGGAAUUUUUAGUAGUCGCAGGUCAUUAACCUGCGACGAAUGCGUCCCUGCCCUUUGUACACACCGCC